ACUGGCUCCAAGAUCACAUAAAGCUUUAUCUAUGCUGAUAUCUCCAAUGUGACAUGGUGUUGAAAAAUUACCAAGAUCCUUCAGUUUGAGUGGAAGCUUAUUUUGCAAGAUAGCACUGCUUUCUUCUGUAAGAGUUACUGUCUUAAAUUCUUUCAACUUCUUCUUGUUAGACAAAAUCUCCUUAAAAAAUUUAGCAUAUGAAGGCAUUUGUGCUAAGGCAUCAGUGAAAGGAAUAGUCACA
RNAcentral lists this unclassified non-coding RNA (241 nucleotides) under Hevea brasiliensis (rubber tree). Lineage: Eukaryota; Viridiplantae; Streptophyta; Magnoliopsida; Malpighiales; Euphorbiaceae. The record is from RNAcentral.